RNAcentral lists this non-coding RNA (26 nucleotides) under Drosophila melanogaster (fruit fly). Lineage: Eukaryota; Metazoa; Arthropoda; Insecta; Diptera; Drosophilidae. The record is from RNAcentral.
CAACAACGUACGUGUCAUGAUGCCGG